Molecule: long non-coding RNA, 773 nt
Organism: Drosophila subpulchrella
Lineage: Eukaryota; Metazoa; Arthropoda; Insecta; Diptera; Drosophilidae
Exons: 3
Source: RefSeq, a predicted model, not a curated record
GAAAUUUCCGGCAAUGGCCGAAACUAACGUUGCAUGAUUUUUGAACUUUCUUCUUAAUUGAACCGGCGUGGCAGUCAGACGUUUAAAUAUAUAUACGCGGCGGAACGAAUUUAGCUAAAAGUGGUUUUCCCAAGUAACAAAUCAAGGAAGCUGAAAUUCUACGAUUCCCGAUACGGCCGCCAAGGCAAACCAGCAGCGCGAGUGCAUUUGCAAGGUGCCCAGCUUGUCUUCAUCCGAUGUCCAGGGGAGUACCCACGUCGGCCGGCAGUCCUAAACUGCCCUGAGGAGCACCCACAUUGACCAGCGAUUCUGAGUUGCCCUUAGGAGCACCUGCAUCGGCCACCAAUCCAAGUUGCGCAGAGGAAAUCCCCUUUGGUCAGCGAUCUGCAGUUGCCUUGGGGAGCACCCCUAUUUGUCCAGCGAUCUGCAGUUGCCUUGGGGAGCACCCCUUUUUGUUCAGCCUUCGGAGUUCCCCCUAUUUGCUCAGCGAUCAGUAGUUGCAGCAGGGAGCACCCUUAUUACAGCUCGUCGAGGAAUUUCCUCGGCCAUAUAGUCCCGUGAAUUGCGAAAGCCUGCCCAACUAGAUCGGCCCUAACCCAAAUCUUCAACAUGUGAAAUCUACCGCUUGGGCAUCGAUCUUAACCUUAUUUGUAACCUCUAAACUAUCAAGCUGGCGAGAAAAAUUCCACAUGUAUAAAAGUAAACAAGGCUACACUGGGAGAAUUUACAAAGAGAAUUUCCUUUUUGAUAAAUUAAAUGAUUUAAAAAUAAAA